UGUGCGGGCAGAGCUUUUAUG
This 21-nucleotide non-coding RNA is filed under the name Caenorhabditis elegans. The record is from RNAcentral. Lineage: Eukaryota; Metazoa; Nematoda; Chromadorea; Rhabditida; Rhabditidae.